ACGCCACUUGGCAAAAUACCCGACAUCUUCUGCAUACCGCUUCGUUCCUAUCAUCAAUACACUGCAUCGUUCCCAGCUUCAUUUUCCUUCCCAAGAUCUCAUUUCCCCCAUUUCCUUCCUCCGAUCUUCUGGCCUGUUCAUAUCAUCAAUACCCGAUCUUCUGGCCUGUUCCUAUCAUCAAUACACUGCACCUGUUUGUUUCCUUCGAUCUCAGAUCUUCUGGCCUUCAACUCCCCAAAAUAGUUCGCCUCGAGAACCCAAGCGUCGCCGAAGGAUGAUACGAAUAUAUAGAAAGCCUCAGAGCCUCAUCCCCACAUCCCUUAUCUCCAAAGAAGACGAAGAUUCAGCAAAACCCUUGGCGAAGACUGAUCCUUACGAUACAGAAAGCGGUCGGCGUUACCGGAGGUGAAGUUCGUCGGCGUCUUUGGAGGUUGGCAGGUCGUUUUACUGCAACCCUUAAUUUUUUUCCCCUUGUGUGAAAUUUACUUUCAACGGAAUUUUUUUCCAUAUAUUGUGAAAUUGGAGCUCUGUUCAGUGCAUAUUGCUUAUGAUGUUAUGGUGAAUGCAUCUACUUUGAUUGUUACUGCUCUAUAGCAAUCUUUGCCGAUUCAUGCCACCAAUAUUUGAUGCAAUUUAUAAAGUGCUACUUCACCUCGCUAACUACCUGCUAUUGACAUCAAGAUGUGCGAGAGGUGACCAGAUGUUUAAGCCUGUUAGGGUCCUAUGUGAUUCUUUUUUGCUCAUUCUAGGUCUCAUAUUAGAAUUAAUUACCAUCAUUUUUAAAAAGUACUUCAAUGGUAAAGAAGAAUAUUUCCCAGUUUUACAUUUUGUGAAAAUGUUCCAUCGAAAAAUUAGGAGCUUAAGUUUCUAACUGAUGGUUUAUUUAAUUAGGUUUCAGAAUUUGUUGAUGGUUGGAUAUAUACGUGGAUAUAAUUAAAUUAAGAUUUAUAAACUUGCACAGGAACUCUGAAUACAGUAGAAUAUUAAAGAACUCUAAUUUUAGUGAUUUCCAUUUCAUAUUUUUUUUAGUUUUUUUAUAUUCCAUACAAUAUGACAUCUAUCUUUCUCAGUGUACUUCUUUAAUAAUAUAGUUGUAGAUGGAUAAAUAGAGAAGCUAGCUAAGCAAUUAAAUUAUGGAGCAAUUAAAUUAUACUAGAAUAGAAAUUAUGUACCUUUAACCUUUCAUGGUCUUAACACUUGGUUAGGCAGGUGGGUUUUUGUUUAUUUGAUUUGUCUCGCAUCUAUUUGUCCAUUUUAUGUUCUUAACAAUGCUAGCAGAGGACCAAAAAUCAAGGGGUAUUUGGUAUUAUUUUAUUUUUAUGUUUACUUUGUCCAUUUUCAUGUUUACAGCAAGGGGUAUUUGGUAUUGUUUCAUUGCCCUUGAUAAUUUUUAUUAUCUUCUGUUGUAGUUUAAUACUGAUGAAGUUUGAACUACCUUGAUCUUUAAUUACUUGGUUUUUUUCACAAUUGGGAAUCAUGUCGAUAUUAGUUAUAAUGAUGGUAGUUUCAUUGGUGCUCUUUUAUCAUAAUAUUUCCCAUGUAUGGAGCAAUAAAGUUAUAAGUACUUUUAGAAGUGCAUGGCUGUAACUUAAAAGUCUUUUGACAAUUAACAGUGCUUGUGAGAUAUCUGGUGCAGAAUUUGUGUUAUCAGGAGUAAUAGUAUGUCGUAUCGAUGUAUUACAGAUAUUAUUAUAGGUGGUGAUUAUUAUUACCAGAGUGAUUGCUGGCUUCUCUAUUUCAAGUCUAACUGUGGUAAACUGAGGUUGAUAAGAGUCAUGAUUAUCAUGGGACAUUGAUAUAGAUAGAGGCAAUAAAUCUACAAUCAUAAAGAGCUGUUUUAAAAUCACGGACAUUAUAAUAAAAGAUUUUAUAUGUAUAUUGUACAACAGAAUGAUCAAGAGGUAAACAAGAAAUUUACAAUUAGAAUGUUCUUUUUUGUCUCAUACUAUUUUAUGUCUGGUACUUUAUAUACAAAAUACAACAUGUAGAGGCAGAUACAGAGACAAGAAAGUAUAAAUAAAGGGACCAUAUUAUACUAGACAGAGUACAACGUUGCUUACUGAAUAUCUCCAGAUUGCCUUUAGAUAGUACUCCAACAUUCACUGUCCCAAGGAACUAUUAUUUGGAAUCAGUGAUUACUGACUUUAAGAUAUCAUGUUUCUAUAUAACUCAUCUUGACAGAGACAAUAGAGACUGGGUGAAAAAUGUCAACAAAUUCUCUCCCUGUUGCAAACUAUCGUGAUGAUCUGGGAACUCCAGAUGAGUUUGUUCUUUCAGACACUCGAACAUUGUACUUCUAAUGCACCUUCUCACAGUUCUCAGUCCACCAAGUUUCAGUUUGCUGCUCCGCAGAUUGCCUUUGACUAAAAAAAACAAUUUCGUAAUAAGAAAUGCAAAUACCUUAAGCUUUAAUAAGAAAAUAUACAACUCACGGCCAUUUUUUAAUUACCUGAAUCUCUCCAGUUCCCUGGUCCCAUCAUGCAGUUCCAUAAGAGUGAUGUAUAUACCAGGUUCAUAUUGUUCUAUCCAUUCUGCCUCCAUUUGAAUAGUAGCUGUAGUGGGCAAUCUAGACCUGUAACUGUUGUUACUGUUUUGCAAGGGCCUGGCUUCCUUGGAAAUAAGUUGCUGCAUUUUGGCAGAUGUUGGAGUGUCUCUCUUGCUACUAUGCUCCACAUUAUAAUAUUCAUUCAUUAAAUUGGAAUUGUUGACUUUUCAACCAAACUACUAAUCUUCAACCGAACAUGCUGCAAUCUAUACGUCGGUUGCAGUGGUUUGUGCGAGUUAUCAUAUAUUGAAAGCAGUUUGUUAGAGUCAGUUGUUCAGGUUGAAAGGUUGCAGUGGUUUGUGCGAGUUAUCAUAUAUUGAAAGCAGUUUGUUAGAGUCAGUUGUUCAGGUUGAAAGGUUACAGUGGUUUGUGCGCGUUAUCAUAUAUUGAAAGAAACCGUAGCUUUUGAGCAAAACAAACAUGGUUGAUUACGCCAUGGCCAUCCACAAGAACCUCUAUCACACUGAAGAGGUUCCUCAAGAGAUGUUUAAUUAAUAGGAGAGCGGAGGUCGUUUCGAAGCUAAAAUCAUUGGAGGAGUCUGUAGCUCUUUUGAUUUCGUUACUUCAAAAUCCAUCUUAUGUUCAGGAUCUCAAGGCUGAUAAGCAAUACAACGUCCAGAUGCUCAGUGACCAGUUUAAGAUUGGUCCAGAGCAGAUAGAAGCUUUAUAUCAGUAUGCGAAGUUCCAAUUUGAGUGUGGGAACUACUCUGCUGCAUCUGAAUUUUUGUAUCAAUAUCAUGCAUUGUGUACUAACAGUGAAAGGAGCCUUAGUGUACUUUGGGGAAAACUUGCAGCUGAGAUUUUUAAUGCAGAACUGGGAUGAAGCUCUUGAGGAAUUGAAUCGCUUGAAAGAGAUAAUUGACUCAAAGGUAUGACUGCGGAAUGUUCAUGCUCAAAUAUAUAGACUUUUACAGCAGAGGUUUAGAUCCUAUAUUUAGGCAGCAACAUUAAAUUGCAAUGCAGUUUGUGGGGUGAUUAUGCUGUUCAAAGUUUCACAGUAUGUACAUAAAUCUAAUUCAGGAAUUAUUAUAAUGGUGAUUCAGCUUGCAAAGACAAAACCAUAUGGAGGUAAAAAUUACUAUUACAAAUGUCUUAUAUGCGUCCAAGAUAUUAAUCAAUCCCGACAUACCUGAAGUUGCUGAUCUAAGAAAAAGGUAUCAUUACCACUUGUGACAAUGAAGUUGAAAUUUGUUCCUCGGAUAAUAUUACUCCUUGCAAGAGAACUGCGUU
Molecule: long non-coding RNA, 3775 nt
Organism: Asparagus officinalis (garden asparagus)
Lineage: Eukaryota; Viridiplantae; Streptophyta; Magnoliopsida; Asparagales; Asparagaceae
Exons: 14
Source: RefSeq, a predicted model, not a curated record